AUUGAACGCUGGCGGCAGGCCUAACACAUGCAAGUCGAGCGGAUGAAGGGAGCUUGCUCCUGGAUUCAGCGGCGGACGGGUGAGUAAUGCCUAGGAAUCUGCCUGGUAGUGGGGGAUAACGUCCGGAAACGGGCGCUAAUACCGCAUACGUCCUGAGGGAGAAAGUGGGGGAUCUUCGGACCUCACGCUAUCAGAUGAGCCUAGGUCGGAUUAGCUAGUUGGUGGGGUAAAGGCCUACCAAGGCGACGAUCCGUAACUGGUCUGAGAGGAUGAUCAGUCACACGGAAACUGAGAAACGGUCCAGACUCCUACGGGAGGCAGCAGGGGGGAAUAUGGGACAAGGGGCGAAAGCCGGAUCCAGCCAUGCCGCGUGGGUGAAGAAGGUCUUCGGAUUGUAAAGCAUUUUAAGUUGGGAGGAAGGGCAGUAAGUUAAAACCUUGCUGUUUUGACGUUACCAACAAAAAAAGCACCGGCUAAUUUCGU
This 483-nucleotide ribosomal RNA is filed under the name uncultured bacterium. RNAcentral's name for it is "partial 16S ribosomal RNA". It matches the Rfam family "Bacterial small subunit ribosomal RNA", at positions 30 to 506 of the family's 1533-position model. The record is from RNAcentral.